This is a long non-coding RNA of Planococcus citri (citrus mealybug), 537 nucleotides long. RefSeq lists it as uncharacterized. The transcript is spliced from 4 exons. Lineage: Eukaryota; Metazoa; Arthropoda; Insecta; Hemiptera; Pseudococcidae. The record is from RefSeq and is a predicted model, not a curated record.
AAAUUUACAUACCUACGUAAAACUGAAAUCAUACUGAAUAGAUAGGUUCUACCUACCUAGAUUCCAUUAUAUAUACAACCUACUCCUGAAAGAAACGAAUAAGUGUUCUUUGAACGUGUUCGAGAUACUGUUACAAUAGCAAAGUUAAUACCUAUACGCUGUCAAAAGUACCUCCAGUUUUUCAAAAAACAGAAAAAAAGUUUCAUUCGAGUAAAGUGAUUUUGGUUAGAAGUAUACCUAUCCGCUGAACUUUGCAAUGUUCCUUGUAAAAGUCAUAUUCUUUGUGUUUUUAGUUGCUGUAUUGCACCUUGCUGUUAUAAAAGAUGCUCUGGUUGCUGGUGUUGGCUCAAAUGAAGCUUUGCUCGGCCCAUUGUAUCCGAAGUCGGACGAUGACAAUUUUACAAAGAGAUGAACAUAAUGGAAAAACAGGAAAACUGUGUGACAUACAGCAUAAAUAAUGUAAUAUGCUUUUUACCGACAUAAAUAAAAGAAAAAUGCAAUUCAUGUGUUGAUACUUAUUCAUGCGUAUUUUCUGUG